AAAAUAGUUAGAUGAUGAAAUGUUUAACCGUUUCCUUUGACUUUCUCAAAUUUAAGUUUUUGUGACAAAUGGAGCCCAAAUAAAAUGACGAAAUUGUGCUAUAUUUAAGUUUGCAGGUACUUUGAAACAGCUUAAAAUAAUAGUUCAGCAAUGUCGUCAUUGAUACAGACUGAAAGAAGGAAAAUGGAAUAUUUCAUGACGGCCAGACCAUCGAGUGGUUCAUUGGUUGGGCUUUAACAAUGCUGCUUGUGACCGAGACAACAACUUAUUUUCGUGUAGCUCGUGAAACUUGAAUGUAAUAUCUGUACAAAGAGCCGAGAACUAGGCCAACCACGCAAAUGCGCUCAAAUGAAGCGCAUUCCUGCAUUCAGACAGGUUUUUUCCCCGUACAGUAGUCACUCAAAGAACAACACUUCAUGGACCACAUUUACUCCAUCUAUUUCACUACAUGAAAAAUAUAAUUAUCGGAGGGUUUUGGAGGUAUCUUGAGCAGGCAACGAAGAAAAUUCGAGGCUGGGAAGAGCUAAGAGACGACCCUUCUCGUUAUACAACUUUUAAUUACAAUCGGUUCGAUUUCCUUUUUACUGGAGUUUCCAUCUGGAGCUUCGUUAAACACAACCGUGGAGCUGACACUCGUAACGUCCACUUAUUUUUCUCUCCGCGGCCUUUUCACGGUACUGAAUAUCCCCCUGACAUCCUUAAUUAAUGACGGAAAUACGUUGUUAGUUCUUCGAGUGGUCGAGCUCCGCGACUGUCGUUUACGUAUUAGUUUUCUCCUCCCUUCGAGACUUAUCUCAGUCAUUGCAAGCCAUUCUCACGUUCAAAUGAAGUUUAAGCUAUCUGCAGCCACUGUUUAAAUAUAUCCGUAAACUUCUCUACAUUUCAAGACUGCCAUCUAAACGUGGAUUUGAAUAGAAUAGCACAAAGAAGAUAAUUUCUUCCACUCUAAUUUCUUCCUAUUUAUUCAUUUCUUCUUCAGUGAAUUUGAAUGGACUGAGAUGAAGAUAAUUUCUUCCACUCUAAUUUCUUGCUAUCUAUUUUUUCUUCAUUUAUUACAUCUAAUUCAGAUUUGGAUAGUCAGAAUACUGUCUACUACUACUUACUUGUUGAGUAAAUAACAUGGAACUGAAACCUAUUAUUCUUUCAGUGUAGGGAGAAUUUCUUCACUUCAAAGUUGCCUUUCUUUGUUACCAAAAUAUAUGGCACAUUGAUACAUUCUGAAGAUUUUAACAGGUAUUUAUCUCAAAUUAUCAAAAAAAAAACCCGAAAAUUAAAUCACUGUUAUCAUUGAGGUAAGUAUCAUUCUUUGAGAUUUUGUUACAACUGUCUUAUAUUAAAUGUUAUAUUUAACAGCAUACUUAGUCUAUCCAUUUAAUAAUAUGAUAAAUCUAUAAUAAAUCUAUAACAACAGCCUAUCUAGUGUAUAAAUAAAAUAUGAAGAUAAUUAUUUUUGUCCAAUUUCUUUGCAGAUAUUAUCUUAAAUUGGAGAGUCCCUGUGGCUAAGCUCAGGUCUUCUAAAUAGCGUUCUGAAGUUCCUGGAAUUAAGGUGGUCUUCUAAGCUUCUUAGGAGAAGUGCAAAUGAAUAUUCUAUUUCAUGCUGAUGACCCUUUAACCGCGUUCUCAACGUCUCACGAAUCACGGCGGAUAAGAAAUUGGCAUUGUAGCGUUUAUCACCGCAUCAGCUGGUAUCUCGUACUCUCAUUAAUGAGAAUUAUGUCAAGGAAUCGUAUCGAUUAAAGCUUAGCCUAGAUAGUCGACGACGAGGCGUCGCUUCAUUGAUUUACUAUCAUACGUUGCCUACAAAUUUACCACUCAGAUGAUGUUACUUCAAAGCAUAUCUUUGUCUUCUCGCUGGGAAUGAGCGCCACUGAAAUACUUCAAGAAGUUAAAUUGAUAUAACAAGUCUGUGCUUCAUCUGAGCACAUAAUAUUUCAUAAAUAAAAUCCUCCUAAGAUAUGAGGUUCCUUAGUACGGAUUUAUUGUUCUUAGAUUCUCCUGGGCCUACCUUCUGUCUAGUUUAAAUUUAAUGUCUUAUUACCAAGGAUCAGUUCUACUUGCUAUAAGAGAUUUAUGCUUCAUUUGUGGGGAUGCAAUAUCUUGUAAAUAAAAUCUCCCGAUUUUGGUUCAACCUUUUGUCUAGUUCAACUUGGAAUAUUGCUUAUGGUCAAAGAUCAGUACUACUUGGUAUAAUAAAUCUGAACACAGUAUUUCAUAAAUGAAAUCUUUAGACGUGUACUUCCUUGAUACGUAAUCUUAUGAUGAUUCUUUCGUCUAGAUUCUUCUGGUUUUGUGUCUAGCUAAAUUUAGAAUCUUAUUUAUGAUUAUGUAUCCUGAUAUUGAAAGAAUGUUGAAGUCUGCGUUAAACUUAGCAGUACAUAUAAACAA
Molecule: long non-coding RNA, 2385 nt
Organism: Bombus pyrosoma
Lineage: Eukaryota; Metazoa; Arthropoda; Insecta; Hymenoptera; Apidae
Exons: 3
Source: RefSeq, a predicted model, not a curated record